Molecule: long non-coding RNA, 424 nt
Filed under: Mytilus galloprovincialis (Mediterranean mussel)
Lineage: Eukaryota; Metazoa; Mollusca; Bivalvia; Mytilida; Mytilidae
Source: RNAcentral
GUUGCUUCUUUAUGAAAGCCAUUUUGAUGAUUUGCAGUAGUUUAAAGAUACUAAAGAUGUCUCGAUUAAGCAUUAGAAAACGUAGGCUGCAACAGUGUGCUUACAGACGAAGAAGGAUAUAUUAGGGAUCACUAUAUUUCUAUCUUUUCUGUUUGUUCAAAUGGUAUUUCUUCUCCAAGAAGUAUUUGGCAAUUGAAGGGGGUAAUGUUGUUUUUUUUUUUAUUUUUUAAGUGUAAUUUCACGGAUCCGAGAUACUAGACAAACAAUACAUUUACCUCACACUUUUUAAGUAAUGCAUUUAUGAGUGAAUCGUUGUUUGAGUAAAGACCAGUGGCAAAUAUUUCUGUGUAAGUCAAGUCGAUUCGGAAAGACCUUAAUUUUCAAAUGAAUUAUGUGUUUGGCAAUGAUGCUGAUUUGAGUCUUG